RNAcentral lists this ribosomal RNA (1023 nucleotides) under Septoriella tridentina. Its description in RNAcentral is "SSU rRNA". It matches the Rfam family "Eukaryotic small subunit ribosomal RNA", at positions 73 to 1106 of the family's 1831-position model. RNAcentral also lists the same sequence under 1 other name. The record is from RNAcentral. Lineage: Eukaryota; Fungi; Ascomycota; Dothideomycetes; Pleosporales; Phaeosphaeriaceae.
AUUAUACCGUGAAACUGCGAAUGGCUCAUUAAAUCAGUUAUCGUUUAUUUGAUAGUACCUUACUACUUGGAUAACCGUGGUAAUUCUAGAGCUAAUACAUGCUAAAAACCCCAACUUCGGGAGGGGUGUAUUUAUUAGAUAAAAAACCAACGCCCUUCGGGGCUUCUUGGUGAUUCAUGAUAACUUUACGGAUCGCAUGGCCUUGCGCCGGCGACGGUUCAUUCAAAUUUCUGCCCUAUCAACUUUCGAUGGUAAGGUAUUGGCUUACCAUGGUUUCAACGGGUAACGGGGAAUUAGGGUUCGAUUCCGGAGAGGGAGCCUGAGAAACGGCUACCACAUCCAAGGAAGGCAGCAGGCGCGCAAAUUACCCAAUCCCGACACGGGGAGGUAGUGACAAUAAAUACUGAUACAGGGCUCUUUUGGGUCUUGUAAUUGGAAUGAGUACAAUUUAAACCUCUUAACGAGGAACAAUUGGAGGGCAAGUCUGGUGCCAGCAGCCGCGGUAAUUCCAGCUCCAAUAGCGUAUAUUAAAGUUGUUGCAGUUAAAAAGCUCGUAGUUGAAACUUGGGUCUGGCUGGCAGGUCCGCCUCACCGCGUGUACUUGUCCGGCCGGGCCUUCCUUCUGGAGAACCUCAUGCCCUUCACUGGGCGUGUUGGGGACCAGGACUUUUACUUUGAAAAAAUUAGAGUGUUCAAAGCAGGCCUUUGCUCGAAUACGUUAGCAUGGAAUAAUAGAAUAGGACGUGCGGUCCUAUUUUGUUGGUUUCUAGGACCGCCGUAAUGAUUAAUAGGGACAGUCGGGGGCAUCAGUAUUCAAUUGUCAGAGGUGAAAUUCUUGGAUUUAUUGAAGACUAACUACUGCGAAAGCAUUUGCCAAGGAUGUUUUCAUUAAUCAGUGAACGAAAGUUAGGGGAUCGAAGACGAUCAGAUACCGUCGUAGUCUUAACCGUAAACUAUGCCGACUAGGGAUCGGGCGAUGUUCUUUUUCUGACUCGCUCGGCACCUUACGAGAAAUCAAAGUUU